Molecule: ribosomal RNA, 391 nt
Filed under: Boops boops
Lineage: Eukaryota; Metazoa; Chordata; Actinopteri; Spariformes; Sparidae
Description: partial 12S ribosomal RNA
Rfam family: Bacterial small subunit ribosomal RNA
Source: RNAcentral
GCCUAGUUAUAAACAUUGACAGUUCAAUACAUUUUCUGUCCGCCUGGGGAUUACGAGCACUAGCUUAAAACCCAAAGGACUUGGCGGUGCUUUAGACCCACCUAGAGGAGCCUGUUCUGGAACCGAUAAUCCCCGUUUAACCUCACCCUUCCUUGUUUAACCCGCCUAUAUACCACCGUCGUCAGCUUACCCCGUGAAGGACGAAUAGUAAGCAGAGCUGGCAUCGCCCAGAACGUCAGGUCGAGGUGUAGCGAAUGCAAGGGGAAGAAAUGGGCUACAUUCCCUCCCCCGAGGGAACCUACGAAUGAUGCACUGAAAACGUGUUACUGAAGGAGGAUUUAGCAGUAAGAGGGGAACAGAGCGUCCCACUGAAGUCGGCUCUUAAGCGCGC